CGACAGCCGCGUGAGUGAAGAAGGACCUAGGGUUGUAAACCUCUUUCGCCAGGGAAGAUAAUGACGGUACCUGGUAAAGAAACCCCGGCUAACUCCGUGCCAGCAGCCGCGGUAAUACGGAGGGGGUUAGCGUUGUUCGGAAUUACUGGGCGUAAAGCGCGCGUAGGCGGAUUAGUAAGUCAGAGGUGAAAUCCCGGGGCUCAACCUCGGAACUGCCUUUGAUACUGCUAGUCUAGAGUUCGAGAGAGGUGAGUGGAAUUCCGAGUGUAGAGGUGAAAUUCGUAGAUAUUCGGAGGAACACCAGUGGCGAAGGCGGCUCACUGGCUCGAUACUGACGCUGAGGUGCGAAAGCGUGGGGGAGCAAACAGGAUUAGAUACCCU
Molecule: ribosomal RNA, 381 nt
Filed under: uncultured Rhodobacterales bacterium
Lineage: Bacteria; Pseudomonadati; Pseudomonadota; Alphaproteobacteria; Rhodobacterales
Description: bacterial SSU rRNA
Rfam family: Bacterial small subunit ribosomal RNA
Source: RNAcentral